This 295-nucleotide long non-coding RNA is filed under the name Olea europaea subsp. europaea. The record is from RNAcentral. Lineage: Eukaryota; Viridiplantae; Streptophyta; Magnoliopsida; Lamiales; Oleaceae.
CACCAGUUUGACCACUAUUAGUAUAUAAAAUGACUUAUUUCACUUCUGAAUCCCAAACAAUUCGAUUAGGGGUUAGUACACAAAGAUUUAAAGUUAUUUCUUCAAAUUGCUCUUCAAAGAUUUAAAAGGCCUAAUCAGGAAGACCAUCUAAUUCUCCAGAAAAAGAUCAAUUGAAACCCUCUAAUGUUUUUUGCUAGACCAACAUAUUUCCCUAGAGAAUCGGUAAAUACUUCUGCUACCAAAAAGGGUUGUUAUAAGAAAUGCUCAAUUUUUUGUGCUUAUGCUACGAUUAAAC